AACGUAGGAUGCAAGCGUUAUCCGGAUUUACUGGGCGUAAAGCGCGUGUAGGCGGUUUGGUAAGUUGGAUGUGAAAGCUCCUGGCUUAACUGGGAGAGGUCGUUCAAUACUGCCAAGCUUGAGGAUGGUAGAGGGAGGUGGAGUUCCGAGUGUAGUGGUGAAAUGCGUAGAUAUUCGGAGGAACACCAGUGGCGAAAGCGGCCUCCUGGACCAUUUCUGACGCUCAGACGCGAAAGCUAGGGUAGCAAACGGGAUUAGAAACCCGUGUAGU
RNAcentral lists this ribosomal RNA (271 nucleotides) under uncultured bacterium. Its description in RNAcentral is "partial 16S ribosomal RNA". It matches the Rfam family "Bacterial small subunit ribosomal RNA", at positions 524 to 794 of the family's 1533-position model. The record is from RNAcentral.